This 178-nucleotide small nucleolar RNA is filed under the name Triticum aestivum (bread wheat). RNAcentral's name for it is "Plant small nucleolar RNA U3". It matches the Rfam family "Plant small nucleolar RNA U3". Rfam says of the family: Small nucleolar RNAs (snoRNAs) are involved in the processing and modification of rRNA in the nucleolus. There are two main classes of snoRNAs: the box C/D class, and the box H/ACA class. U3 snoRNA is a member of the box C/D class. Lineage: Eukaryota; Viridiplantae; Streptophyta; Magnoliopsida; Poales; Poaceae. The record is from Rfam by way of RNAcentral.
ACGACCUUACUUGAACAGGAUCUGUUCUAUAGGCUCGUACCGCUGCAUCCUUUACCAAUAAGGAGGCAAGCACUUUAGUCUGGUUGAUGCAUUCUGACCUCUGGGCCAGAGCGUGAUUAACGGCCUGGAUGCUCUUGAUGUGAGCUAUCCAACGGCUGUAGAGGUUGUCUGACAGACA